CUGUGAUCGAUGUGUGUUGGCACCAGCCACCGGUGGACAUGUAAGUCACACUGCAUCUGAAUCCAUGCAUAUCAGCUGAUUAUGAGGCAUAUGAGUUCAUAAAGAUCAAGAGAGUGGAGGCCAGUGUGGACAGUGCACAUAUGGGUCACACACUGACAUUGCCAAGCGAGGCCAGAAGAGGGCUCCAGAUCCCCUCGAAUUCAGAACUGCCAACACUUCUGUCACGUGAAUCAGGACCUUCAAGCAGAGACCAUGGCUGAGAGGUGUGGGUUCUUAAUGAUGAGAUCCUGGCUGACUGAAAAGUGAGCUCCAUCAGGAGUGACUGGGCUGCUCAGGAAUCUGGAGACAGACACGGAACACCAUCUACCCCUGUUCCCACCCCAUGGCUGGAGAGACUAUCCCUUUAAGAAAAGACUUUGGGGACAGAACCCAAGAACAUAAAUAAAGUGUGGCUGCCUCGCUCUCUAAAGAAGGUU
This 476-nucleotide long non-coding RNA is filed under the name Mus spicilegus (steppe mouse). Its description in RNAcentral is "lncRNA (ENSMSIG00000014438.1)". Lineage: Eukaryota; Metazoa; Chordata; Mammalia; Rodentia; Muridae. The record is from RNAcentral.